UUAACUAUUAUAUAGUACUCAGACGACACUAUAAUUCAGAAUUAGGGGUCCUCUGGCGGGCGCUCCCCCGCCGAAGCCAGGGCGCGGCUAGACCUCGUGGCCCGCCAAAGCAACAAACGUAGUAUUCAAGGGUAGGAGUUCUGACCCUUUUCAGGGCACAGAAAACACUGUAAUGAUCCUUCCGCAGGUUCACCUACGGAAA
Molecule: unclassified non-coding RNA, 202 nt
Filed under: uncultured fungus
Lineage: Eukaryota; Fungi
Description: sequence contains ITS1
Source: RNAcentral